UGAGCAAUCUGCCCUUCUCAUCGGAAUAAGCGUUGGAAACGACGUCUAAUGCCGAAUACGACCUCCUUUCGCAUGAUCGGAGGUGGAAAGCUCCGGCGAAGAAGGAUGAGCUCGCGGCCUAUCAGCUAGUUGGUGUGGGUAAUGGCCCACCAAGGCGACGACGGGUAGCCGGCCUGAGAGGGUGACCGGCCACACUGGGACUGAGACACGGCCCAGACUCCUACGGGAGCAG
RNAcentral lists this ribosomal RNA (232 nucleotides) under uncultured bacterium. Its description in RNAcentral is "partial 16S ribosomal RNA". It matches the Rfam family "Bacterial small subunit ribosomal RNA", at positions 118 to 347 of the family's 1533-position model. The record is from RNAcentral.